This 521-nucleotide ribosomal RNA is filed under the name uncultured bacterium. RNAcentral describes it as "bacterial SSU rRNA". It matches the Rfam family "Bacterial small subunit ribosomal RNA", at positions 25 to 518 of the family's 1533-position model. The record is from RNAcentral.
CAGGACGAACGCUGGCGGCGUGCCUAAUACAUGCAAGUCGAACGGUCUUUCUAUGGAAGCUUGCUUCCACUGAGAAGAUAGUGGCGAACGGGUGAGUAACACGUGGGUAACCUGCCCAUAAGAGGGGGGAUAACAUCCGGAAACGGGUGCUAAUACCGCAUAGUUUUCUUGAUCGCAUGAUCGGGAAAGGAAAGACGGCCUUUGUGCUGUCGCUUAUGGAUGGACCCGCGGCGUAUUAGUUAGUUGGUGAGGUAACGGCUCACCAAGACGAUGAUACGUAGCCGACCUGAGAGGGUGAUCGGCCACAUUGGGACUGAGACACGGCCCAAACUCCUACGGGAGGCAGCAGUAGGGAAUCUUCCGCAAUGGACGAAAGUCUGACGGAGCAACGCCGCGUGAGUGAAAGAAGGUUUUCGGAUCGUAAAACUCUGUUGUCAGAGAAGAACAAGUUGGAGAGUAACUGCUCCAGCCUUGACGGUAUCUGACCAGAAAGCCACGGCUAACUACGUGCCAGCCGCCGC